GAGCUUUGUACAGGGCGAUAAGAAUGGAU
Molecule: non-coding RNA, 29 nt
Filed under: Rattus norvegicus (Norway rat)
Lineage: Eukaryota; Metazoa; Chordata; Mammalia; Rodentia; Muridae
Source: RNAcentral